CCUACGGGAGGCAGCAGUGAGGAAUAUUGGUCAAUGGGCGCUAGCCUGAACCAGCCAAGUCGCGUGAAGGAUGACUGCCCUAUGGGUUGUAAACUUCUUUUGUAUUGGGGUAAAGUGCCCUAUGUAUACUGCUUUGCAUGUACCUUAUGAAUAAGGAUCGGCUAACUCCGUGCCAGCAGCCGCGGUAAUACGGAGGAUUCGAGCGUUAUCCGGAUUUAUUGGGUUUAAAGGGAGCGUAGGCGGGUUGAUAAGUUAGUUGUGAAAGUUCGGGGCUCAACCGUAAAACUGCAGUUGAUACUGGUAUACUUGAGUGUAGUAGAGGUAGGCGGAAUGCGUGGUGUAGCGGUGAAAUGCUUAGAGAUCACAAAGAACUCCGAUUGCGAAGGCAGCCUACUGAACUGUAACUGACGCUGAUGCACGAAAGUGUGGGUAGCAAACAGGAUUAGAUACCCGGGUAGUC
Molecule: ribosomal RNA, 460 nt
Filed under: uncultured bacterium
Lineage: Bacteria
Description: partial 16S ribosomal RNA
Rfam family: Bacterial small subunit ribosomal RNA
Source: RNAcentral